This is a long non-coding RNA of Sorghum bicolor (sorghum), 1516 nucleotides long. RefSeq lists it as uncharacterized. Lineage: Eukaryota; Viridiplantae; Streptophyta; Magnoliopsida; Poales; Poaceae. The record is from RefSeq and is a predicted model, not a curated record. The transcript has 4 exons.
CUUCCCCGUCUGGCUAUCCACUCGCUAGAAGGAAAAGAAAAAUUAGAAACCCAUGUGCCGCCUGGCUCCAGACGGACUCCGUUGUCGCCGCCACCGCCAUCGCCACCUGUGCCCCUCCACUGCCGACGUCGCAGCCCCGCCCCCACCGACACCACGGCCCCACGCCGUCACGCCGCCGCUGAACCCACAUCGAGCUGCACUCUCCAUCAACAGUUGGCUCCUCCAUUCUCGUCCUCACCCGCCUGAUUUGCCUCUGGUCUCCUGCCAUUGAUGAGAGCACACUGUGUCCUAGGAUGCUGAGCGGGAUUCUAACGCUCUCUCAUAGUAGAUGAGAGCAGGUCGGGCAGGCCUGGGGCCAUCGGGGAGGCGAGGGAUCGAGCUCACUAUCCGCCAUGGACGAGGAGGACGACGACAUGGACGGCGCCGAUGUUGGUAUGGCCGCCACCCUGGACAACACAGUGAAGCUGCAGAAGCUCGACGAGAUGAAGUGCAGACUAAAGGAGAUGGAGGAGGAGGUCGCUGCCCUUCGCGAUACAUAGGCCAAUGUCACCAAGGCGAUGCAAGGUCCUAUAGCUGGCAGGCAACACAUACAGCUUGUUGUGCGCAACAAUGAUGAGCUAACCAAGUUUCUUGGUGCCAUCACCAUGCUGCCGGUAGUGUGUUACUGAACUACGAGACACUACUGCCCAAGAAGGCUGGAGGCAAGGAUGAGGCUGAUAUUGGCUCAUCGUAGAUUAAAUACACCUUUGUGCUAAGCAUAAUGGGACAAAUAUGCCAAAUUGUCAUCAAUUUGUCUAGGCAUAAAUGGAAAGGGAAGGGACGGUUCUUGCAGAGUAGAGGGAAAGGAAAACAAGGCAUCCAUUUAUUUUGAACCAUCGAAUCAACACCAUGAGACAUUUAAUCUAAAUGAUAUUUACUCUUUAUCAGGUUUGGAGCUCCCUUAUGGAUUUAUCUGGUUUUCGAGUCAGAUGAAUUUGCAUGGCAUAAUAGCAUACAUGGAGGUCAUCAUGUGGUUACAGGCUUCUGCAAUAUGGGUUGUGUGCACAGAUUGGAGAGACUUUUUCUGAAUAAACGCACAUGGAUAGCAAGGUUGGUCCGGAUAAGCUCUGUUUGUUUGAAUGGAAUCCAAUAAUAACUGUAUUAGAGGGCAAAUGAGUCAGUGCACUUAUGUUUGAAUGAGUGUAGUGCCAUUAUUAGAAACAGAAAUGACUUAACCAGAUUAGUGACAAUCAGUGUACAACUAGACUUCUGAAAAGAAUUCAGCUCUAACUCAACACAAAUACUUUCAUCAGUGGUACUUGUUCCAUUGCCAACAUAUCUUUGGGAGGCCAAAUUUUUUGCUUGAGUAUCAGCUUGGAUCCUUUGUUUUCCUGGGAAAUCAUAAUGGUCCUGCACAAUGUCAAAAGUCCACUCACCUUUUUUUAGAACAUUUAAGUGAGAAACAUUUUGAGAUCAAAUGAAUAGCAGCAUUAUGUUGCCAUAUAUUGUUUCAAAUGAAUAGCAGCAUUAUCUUGUA